RNAcentral lists this microRNA (21 nucleotides) under Polistes canadensis. RNAcentral's name for it is "pca-miR-3736-5p". Lineage: Eukaryota; Metazoa; Arthropoda; Insecta; Hymenoptera; Vespidae. The record is from miRBase by way of RNAcentral.
CAGUCACCCUGAGUAUACUCC